Molecule: ribosomal RNA, 557 nt
Filed under: uncultured Rhizomicrobium sp.
Lineage: Bacteria; Pseudomonadati; Pseudomonadota; Alphaproteobacteria; Micropepsales; Micropepsaceae
Description: bacterial SSU rRNA
Rfam family: Bacterial small subunit ribosomal RNA
Source: RNAcentral
ACGGGUGCGUAACGCGUGGGAAUGUACCUAUUGGUUCGGAACAACUGAGGGAAACUUCAGCUAAUACCGAAUGUGCCCGUAAGGGGAAAGAUUUAUCGCCAAUGGAUCAGCCCGCGUAGGAUUAGCUAGUUGGUGGGGUAAUGGCCCACCAAGGCUCCGAUCCUUAGCUGUUCUGAGAGGAAGAUCAGCCACACUGGGACUGAGACACGGCCCAGACUCCUACGGGAGGCAGCAGUUGGGAAUCUUGGACAAUGGGGGAAACCCUGAUCCAGCCAUGCCGCGUGAGUGAUGAAGGCCUUCGGGUUGUAAAACUCUUUCGACGGGGACGAUAAUGACGGUACCCGUAGAAGAAGCUCCGGCUAACUUCGUGCCAGCAGCCGCGGUAAUACGAAGGGGGCUAGCGUUGUUCGGAAUUACUGGGCGUAAAGCGCGCGCAGGCGGCUAUCCAAGUCAGUGGUGAAAGCCCGGAGCUCAACUCCGGAACUGCCAUUGAAACUGUUUAGCUUGAGGACGAGAGAGGUGAGUGGAAUUCCCAGUGUAGAGGUGAAAUUCGUAGA